This 255-nucleotide ribosomal RNA is filed under the name Enterobacter asburiae. RNAcentral describes it as "partial 23S ribosomal RNA". It matches the Rfam family "Bacterial large subunit ribosomal RNA", at positions 2693 to 2925 of the family's 2925-position model. Lineage: Bacteria; Pseudomonadati; Pseudomonadota; Gammaproteobacteria; Enterobacterales; Enterobacteriaceae. The record is from RNAcentral.
CGGAGUGGACGCAUCACUGGUGUUCGGGUUGUCAUGCCAAUGGCACUGCCCGGUAGCUAAAUGCGGAAAAGAUAAGUGCUGAAAGCAUCUAAGCACGAAACUUGCCCCGAGAUGAGUUCUCCCUGACCCUUUAAGGGUCCUGAAGGAACGUUGAAGACGACGACGUUGAUAGGUCGGGUGUGUAAGCGCAGCGAUGCGUUGAGCUAACCGAUACUAAUGAACCGUGAGGCUUAACCUUACAACGCCGAAGCUGUU